AGUGGCGAACGGGUGAGUAAUAUGCUAAUACGUACCUUAAAGUAUGGUAUAAAGUAAUGAAAAUUACCUUAAUUCCGUAUAUAUAUUCUAUAUAUUUUUAAUUUAAAGGAGGUUCGCUUUAUAGAUCGUUUAGUAUCAGAUUAGCUAGUUGUUGUUUUAAUUAAUUAACAAGGCGAUGAUCUGUAGUUGUUCUGUAAGGAAGUUCAACCACACUGGGACUGAGAAUGGCCCAGACCUCUAUGGAGGGCAGCAGUGAGGAAUAUUGGACAAUGAGCGAAAGCUUGAUCCAGCAAUACCACGUGUGUGAUGAAGACUAUGUUGUAAAGCACUUUUAUGAUUUAUUAAUGAGGUUGAAUUUAUUUCAUGAAUAAGCACCGGCUAAUUACGUGCCAGCAGCCGCGGUAAUACGUAAGGUGCAAGCGUUAGUCGGUAUUAUUAGGCGUAAAGCGUGUGUAGGCUGAUUUAUUGUGAGAAUUGUUAAAUUUUAAGGCUCAACCUUAAACUGCGGUUUUUACUAAUAGUCUUGAAUUUAGGUGGGGUUAACGGAACUUUACAAGUAACGGUGAAAUGUGUAAAUAUGUAAAGGAACACCGAUAGCGAAGGCAGUUAACUUACUUUUAUUUGACGCUGAUACACUAAAGCGUGGGUAGCGAACAGGAUUAGAUACCCUGGUAGUCCACGCCCUAAACGAUGUCAACUAAUUUCUUAGGUAUUUAAUAAAGCUAACGCGUUAAGUUGACCGCCUGGGGACUACGAUCGCAAGAUUAAAACUCAAAGGAAUUGACGGGGACCUGCACAAGCGGUGGAUGAUGUGGAUUAAUUCGAUGCAACACGAAGAACCUUACCUACUUUUGACAUGUAUAGAAUCUUCUUGAGAGAGUGGAGUGCCUAUAACACAGGUGCUGCAUGGCUGUCGUCAGCUCGUGUCGUGAGAUGUUGGGUUAAGUCCUAUAACGAGCGAAACCCUUUCCUCAUAUUACUAAAGCACAUUUGAGGUACUGCCAAUGAUAAAUUGGAGGAAGGAAAGGACGACGUCAAGUCCUCAUGGCCUUUAUAAGUAGGGCUUCACACGUCAUACAAUGGUUGGUACAAUUAGAUACAAUUUCGUAAGAAUGAGUAGAUCUUUAAACCCAAUCCUAGUUCGGAUUGUACCCUGAAACUCGGGUACAUGAAGCAGGAAUCGCUAGUAAUCGCAGAUUAGAAUGCUGCGGUGAAUACGUUCUCAGGUCUUGUACACACCGCCCGUCACACC
RNAcentral lists this ribosomal RNA (1252 nucleotides) under Candidatus Vidania fulgoroideorum. RNAcentral describes it as "bacterial SSU rRNA". It matches the Rfam family "Bacterial small subunit ribosomal RNA", at positions 94 to 1403 of the family's 1533-position model. Lineage: Bacteria; Pseudomonadati; Pseudomonadota; Betaproteobacteria. The record is from RNAcentral.